UCCGGUUUGUCACCGGCAGUCUCGCAUGAGUCCCCGGCCGAACCGCUGGCAACAUGCGACGGGGGUUGCGCUCGUUGCGGGACUUAACCCAACAUCUCACGACACGAGCUGACGACAGCCAUGCACCACCUGUCAUGGGCCCUUUCGGACACCGUAUCUCUACGGCUUUUCCCAUGAUGUCAAACCCAGGUAAGGUUCUUCGGGUCGCAUCGAAUUAAGCCGCAUGCUCCGCCGCUUGUGCGGGGACCCGUCAAUUCCUUUGAGUUUUAGCCUUGCGGCCGUACUCCCCAGGCGGCGAACUUAAUGCGUUAGCUGCGGCACGGAGGGCAUGACACCCCCCGCACCUAGUUCGCACCGUUUACGGCGUGGACUAC
RNAcentral lists this unclassified non-coding RNA (374 nucleotides) under uncultured Acidimicrobiia bacterium. RNAcentral describes it as "contains 16S-23S intergenic spacer region". Lineage: Bacteria; Bacillati; Actinomycetota; Acidimicrobiia. The record is from RNAcentral.